GGAAACGAUCGUUAAUACCGCAUAAUAUAAUUGAACCGCAUGAUUUGAUUAUCAAAGAUUUAUCGCUGAAAGAUGAGCUCGCGUCUGAUUAGCUAGUUGGUAAGGUAACGGCUUACCAAGGCGACGAUCAGUAGCCGGACUGAGAGGUUGAUCGGCCACAUUGGGACUGAGACACGGCCCAGACUCCUACGGGAGGCAGCAGUGGGGAAUAUUGCACAAUGGAGGAAACUCUGAUGCAGCGAUGCCGCGUGAGGGAAGAAGGUUUUAGGAUUGUAAACCUCUGUCUUCAGGGACGAAAAAAGACGGUACCUGAGGAGGAAGCUCCGGCUAACUACGUGCCAGCAGCCGCG
This 350-nucleotide ribosomal RNA is filed under the name uncultured bacterium. RNAcentral describes it as "bacterial SSU rRNA". It matches the Rfam family "Bacterial small subunit ribosomal RNA", at positions 152 to 519 of the family's 1533-position model. The record is from RNAcentral.